UUAAUUGAAGCCAAAUUAGAGGCAUAUCACUGUUAAUGAUAUAAUUGAAGAAUAUCUUCCAAUUAAG
RNAcentral lists this transfer RNA (67 nucleotides) under Paracoenia fumosa. RNAcentral's name for it is "tRNA-Asn". The record is from RNAcentral. Lineage: Eukaryota; Metazoa; Arthropoda; Insecta; Diptera; Ephydridae.